UUGCGACUGUAUCUCAUUGAAACGCCAGUUCUCGUACGAUCACCGAAAUUAAGCAAAGUCAAGCCUGGUCAGUAUCUAGAUGGGUGACUCUUUGGGAAUACCAGGUACUGUAA
This is a non-coding RNA of Acanthosepion pharaonis, 113 nucleotides long. The record is from the annotation of a GenBank genome assembly. NCBI's taxonomy places the organism in Eukaryota, Metazoa, Mollusca, Cephalopoda, Sepiida, Sepiidae.